Molecule: ribosomal RNA, 3109 nt
Filed under: Listeria monocytogenes
Lineage: Bacteria; Bacillati; Bacillota; Bacilli; Caryophanales; Listeriaceae
Description: 23S ribosomal RNA
Rfam family: Bacterial large subunit ribosomal RNA
Source: RNAcentral
GGUUAAGUUAGAAAGGGCGCACGGUGGAUGCCUUGGCACUAGGAGCCGAAGAAGGACGGGACUAACACCGAUAUGCUUUGGGGAGCUGUACGUAAGCGUUGAUCCAGAGAUUUCCGAAUGGGGGAACCCACUAUCUUUAGUCGGAUAGUAUCCUUACGUGAAUACAUAGCGUGAGGAAGGCAGACCCAGGGAACUGAAACAUCUAAGUACCUGGAGGAAGAGAAAGAAAAAUCGAUUUCCUGAGUAGCGGCGAGCGAAACGGAAAGAGCCCAAACCAAGAAGCUUGCUUCUUGGGGUUGUAGGACACUCUAUACGGAGUUACAAAAGAAAGUUAUAAAUGAAGCGGUCUGGAAAGGCCCGCCAAAGACGGUAACAGCCCGGUAGUUGAAAUGGCUUUCCCUCCAGAGUGGAUCCUGAGUACGGCGGAACACGUGAAAUUCCGUCGGAAUCCGGGAGGACCAUCUCCCAAGGCUAAAUACUCCCUAGUGACCGAUAGUGAACCAGUACCGUGAGGGAAAGGUGAAAAGCACCCCGGAAGGGGAGUGAAACAGUUCCUGAAACCGUGUGCCUACAAGUAGUUAGAGCCCGUUAAUGGGUGAUAGCGUGCCUUUUGUAGAAUGAACCGGCGAGUUACGAUUUGUUGCAAGGUUAAGCGGAAAAAGCGGAGCCGUAGCGAAAGCGAGUCUGAAUAGGGCGCAUAAGUAACAGGUCGUAGACCCGAAACCAGGUGAUCUACCCAUGUCCAGGAUGAAGGUAAGGUAAUACUUACUGGAGGUCCGAACCCACGCACGUUGAAAAGUGCGGGGAUGAGGUGUGGGUAGCGGAGAAAUUCCAAUCGAACUUGGAGAUAGCUGGUUCUCUCCGAAAUAGCUUUAGGGCUAGCCUCGAGGUAAAGAGUCAUGGAGGUAGAGCACUGUUUGGACUAGGGGCCCUUCUCGGGUUACCGAAUUCAGAUAAACUCCGAAUGCCAUGUACUUAUACUCGGGAGUCAGACUGCGAGUGAUAAGAUCCGUAGUCGAAAGGGAAACAGCCCAGACCACCAGUUAAGGUCCCCAAAUAUAUGUUAAGUGGAAAAGGAUGUGGGGUUGCUUAGACAACCAGGAUGUUGGCUUAGAAGCAGCCACCAUUGAAAGAGUGCGUAAUAGCUCACUGGUCGAGUGACCCCGCGCCGAAAAUGUACCGGGGCUAAACAUAUUACCGAAACUGUGGAUGAACCUCUUUAGAGGUUCGUGGUAGGAGAGCGUUCUAAGGGCGGUGAAGUCAGACCGGAAGGACUGGUGGAGCGCUUAGAAGUGAGAAUGCCGGUAUGAGUAGCGAAAGAAGGGUGAGAAUCCCUUCCACCGAAUAUCUAAGGUUUCCUGAGGAAGGCUCGUCCGCUCAGGGUUAGUCGGGACCUAAGCCGAGGCCGAUAGGCGUAGGCGAUGGACAACAGGUAGAGAUUCCUGUACCAGUGCUAAUUGUUUAACCGAUGGGGUGACACAGAAGGAUAGGGAAUCGCACGAAUGGAAAUGUGCGUCCAAGCAGUGAGUGUGAGAAGUAGGCAAAUCCGCUUCUCGCGAAGCAUGAGCUGUGAUGGGGAAGGAAAUUAAGUACGGAAGUUCCUGAUUUCACGCUGUCAAGAAAAGCCUCUAGGAANNNNNNNNNNNNNNNNNNNNNNNNNNNNNNNNNNNNNNNNNNNNNNNNNNNNNNNNNNNNNNNNNNNNNNNNNNNNNNNNNNNNNNNNNNNNNNNNCACGAAGCAUGAGCUGUGAUGGGGAAGGAAAUUAAGUACGGAAGUUCCUGAUUUCACGCUGUCAAGAAAAGCCUCUAGGAAGAGUAGUACUGCCCGUACCGCAAACCGACACAGGUAGAUGAGGAGAGAAUCCUAAGGUGAGCGAGAGAACUCUCGUUAAGGAACUCGGCAAAAUGACCCCGUAACUUCGGGAGAAGGGGUGCUCUAUUAGGGUGCAAGCCCGAGAGAGCCGCAGUGAAUAGGCCCAGGCGACUGUUUAGCAAAAACACAGGUCUCUGCAAAACCGUAAGGUGACGUAUAGGGGCUGACGCCUGCCCGGUGCUGGAAGGUUAAGAGGAGUGCUUAGCUUCGGCGAAGGUACGAAUUGAAGCCCCAGUAAACGGCGGCCGUAACUAUAACGGUCCUAAGGUAGCGAAAUUCCUUGUCGGGUAAGUUCCGACCCGCACGAAAGGCGCAACGAUCUGGGCACUGUCUCAACGAGAGACUCGGUGAAAUUAUAGUACCUGUGAAGAUGCAGGUUACCCGCGACAGGACGGAAAGACCCCGUGGAGCUUUACUGCAACCUGAUAUGGAAUGUUUGUACCGCUUGUACAGGAUAGGUAGGAGCCGAAGAGACGUGUGCGCUAGCAUACGAGGAGGCAAUGGUGGGAUACUACCCUGGCUGUAUGACCAUUCUAACCCGCCACGCUUAGCGCGUGGGGAGACAGUGUCAGGUGGGCAGUUUGACUGGGGCGGUCGCCUCCUAAAGAGUAACGGAGGCGCCCAAAGGUUCCCUCAGAAUGGAUGGAAAUCAUUCGCAGAGUGUAAAGGCACAAGGGAGCUUGACUGCGAGACUGACAAGUCGAGCAGGGACGAAAGUCGGGCUUAGUGAUCCGGUGGUUCCGCAUGGAAGGGCCAUCGCUCAACGGAUAAAAGCUACCCCGGGGAUAACAGGCUUAUCUCCCCCAAGAGUCCACAUCGACGGGGAGGUUUGGCACCUCGAUGUCGGCUCGUCGCAUCCUGGGGCUGUAGUCGGUCCCAAGGGUUGGGCUGUUCGCCCAUUAAAGCGGCACGCGAGCUGGGUUCAGAACGUCGUGAGACAGUUCGGUCCCUAUCCGUCGCGGGCGCAGGAAAUUUGAGAGGAGCUGUCCUUAGUACGAGAGGACCGGGAUGGACACACCGCUGGUGUACCAGUUGUUCCGCCAGGAGCAUCGCUGGGUAGCUAUGUGUGGCAGGGAUAAACGCUGAAAGCAUCUAAGCGUGAAGCCCCCCUCAAGAUGAGAUUUCCCAUUUCUUCGGAAAGUAAGAUCCCUGAAAGAUGAUCAGGUAGAUAGGUUUGGAGUGGAAGUGUAGCGAUACAUGGAGCGGACAAAUACUAAUCGAUCGAGGACUUAACCAA